This 450-nucleotide ribosomal RNA is filed under the name Pseudoramibacter alactolyticus. RNAcentral describes it as "bacterial SSU rRNA". It matches the Rfam family "Bacterial small subunit ribosomal RNA", at positions 28 to 478 of the family's 1533-position model. Lineage: Bacteria; Bacillati; Bacillota; Clostridia; Eubacteriales; Eubacteriaceae. The record is from RNAcentral.
GACGAACGCUGGCGGUAUGCUUAACACAUGCAAGUCGAACGAGAAGUCUUUUAUUGAACCUUCGGGGGAUAUAAGAGACAGACAGUGGUGAACGGGUGAGUAACGCGUGGGCAACCUACCUAUCGGAGCGGGAUAGCCUCGAGAAAUCGGGAGUAAAACCGCAUAACACGGAUAUAUCGCAUGAUGAAUCCGUCAAAACUCCGGUGCCGAUAGAUGGGCCCGCGUCUGAUUAGCUAGUUGGUAAGGUAAGGGCUUACCAAGGCAACGACCAGUAGCCGGUCUGAGAGGGCGAACGGCCACACUGGAACUGAGACACGGUCCAGACUCCUACGGGAGGCAGCAGUGGGGAAUAUUGCGCAAUGGGGGCAACCCUGACGCAGCAAUACCGCGUGAGUGAAGAAGGUUUUCGGAUCGUAAAGCUCUGUUAUUGGGGAAGAAGCAGGACGGUAC